UUACGUCAUUCUGUACGUUCCGUGCGC
This 27-nucleotide small RNA is filed under the name Bombyx mori (domestic silkworm). RNAcentral's name for it is "piRNA piR-bmo-1933312". Lineage: Eukaryota; Metazoa; Arthropoda; Insecta; Lepidoptera; Bombycidae. The record is from RNAcentral.